Molecule: ribosomal RNA, 431 nt
Filed under: uncultured bacterium
Lineage: Bacteria
Description: bacterial SSU rRNA
Rfam family: Bacterial small subunit ribosomal RNA
Source: RNAcentral
AACGCGAAGAACCUUACCAGGUCUUGACAUCCCGCUGACCGUCCUACAGAUAGGGCUUCCCUUCGGGGCAGCGGUGACAGGUGGUGCAUGGUUGUCGUCAGCUCGUGUCGUGAGAUGUUGGGUUAAGUCCCGCAACGAGCGCAACCCUUAUCUUUAGUUGCCAGCAUUCAGUUGGGCACUCUAUAGAGACUGCCGUCGACAAGACGGAGGAAGGCGGGGAUGACGUCAAAUCAUCAUGCCCCUUAUGACCUGGGCUACACACGUGCUACAAUGGCUGGUACAACGGGAUGCUAGCUCGCGAGAGUACGCCAAUCUCUUAAAACCAGUCUCAGUUCGGAUUGUAGGCUGCAACUCGCCUACAUGAAGUCGGAAUCGCUAGUAAUCGCGGAUCAGCAUGCCGCGGUGAAUACGUUCCCGGGUCUUGUACACAC